UCAAGAUUGCUGGGAGAAAUAUCAAUAACCUCAGAUAUGCAGAUGACACUACCCUUACAGCAGAAAGUAAAGAAGAACUAAAGUGCCUCUUGAUGAACAUGAAAGAGGAGAGUGAAAAAGCUGGUUUAAUUAUGAACAAUGCUAUAUUUCUGUUGGGAAAGACUGAGGGCAGGAGAAGACGGUGACAGAGGAUGGAUAUCUCACUGACUCAAUGGACAUGAGUUCGAGCAAACUCUGGGAGAUAGUGAAGGACAGGGAAGCCUGGUGUGCUGCAGUCCAUGUGUUGCAAAGAGUUGGACACGACUUAACAACUGAACAACAACAAUUUCACUCUCAGAGGUGUUCCAGUUAGAUGAUGUGUUUUAAGAAAGCAACUGAAUGCCCUCACUUCCAGUAAUCCUCCUAAGCCUUGUUAAUGGAGGUGUUUGGGGCAGGAGGCCAUUUCAUAUGCUGUCUGAAUCACAGAGCUCACAGGGUUCAGUCACAGCAAGAAAUUCCAUGGAGAGUGGGAAUCACAGAAAGGACUGAAGAGAGCUGCCGCAUGGCCCCUCUGCUCUGGGAGAAACCAGCACCUGUGGAAGUCCAGCUACUUCAAGACCACCAUGCUGUGAGGAAGCCCAGUCUAGCCAUAUGGAGAGAUACUGUGCCAGCCCCAAGCCACUCCAGACAUCCCAGACCAGACACCACAGAGCUGCAUAAAGAAGCCUUCAGAUGAACUUGGCCUUAGCUUUAGACUGGCUACACAAUCCCAGAGACCUCAAGUGAGAACCACCCGGCUGAUCCUAUCAACCUCCACAGCCAUGAGCAGUAAUAAUACAUUAUUGUUUCACUCUGCUAAGUUUUGGAGUGGUUCGUUAAGCAGCACCAGAUAACUGGAACAGUGAGUAAGGGAGAAGUGAGUGCCAGGGGUGUGGCAGGAUACCAACAGUACGCUGCAGGGAAGCACAUGGAGUGAAAGAAAAAGCUAGUGUCUAGGCCUCAGAAAGGACACUCCAUUGAUCAGGUGACAGGGAAGAGUGGAAAAUCACUUCAGAGCACUGAUCUCUGUUGCUUUUUUGCUAGAGUCCCUCCACUCGAGUCAAGUUCCCAAGAGGGAAGGAGUCCC
Long non-coding RNA from Dama dama (fallow deer), 1105 nucleotides. RefSeq lists it as uncharacterized. Lineage: Eukaryota; Metazoa; Chordata; Mammalia; Artiodactyla; Cervidae. The transcript is spliced from 4 exons. The record is from RefSeq and is a predicted model, not a curated record.